GUGGGGAAUCUUAGACAAUGGGCGCAAGCCUGAUCUAGCCAUGCCGCGUGAGCGAUGAAGGCCUUAGGGUUGUAAAGCUCUUUCGCUGGGGAAGAUAAUGACUGUACCCAGUAAAGAAGCCCCGGCUAACUCCGUGCCAGCAGCCGCGGUAAUACGGAGGGGGCUAGCGUUGUUCGGAAUUACUGGGCGUAAAGCGCGCGUAGGCGGAUUGGAAAGUUGGGGGUGAAAUCCCGGGGCUCAACCCCGGAACUGCCUUUGAAACUCCCAGUCUUGAGUUCGAGAGAGGUGAGUGGAAUUCCGAGUGUAGAGGUGAAAUUCGUAGAUAUUCGGAGGAACACCAGUGGCGAAGGCGGCUCACUGGCUCGAUACUGACGCUGAGGUGCGAAAGCGUGGGGAGCAAACAGGAUUAGAUACCCGUGUAGUCC
This 425-nucleotide ribosomal RNA is filed under the name uncultured bacterium. RNAcentral describes it as "partial 16S ribosomal RNA". It matches the Rfam family "Bacterial small subunit ribosomal RNA", at positions 354 to 796 of the family's 1533-position model. The record is from RNAcentral.